This 679-nucleotide ribosomal RNA is filed under the name uncultured bacterium. RNAcentral's name for it is "bacterial SSU rRNA". It matches the Rfam family "Bacterial small subunit ribosomal RNA", at positions 118 to 795 of the family's 1533-position model. The record is from RNAcentral.
UACGCAACCUUCCUUUGAGCGGGGAAUAGCCCAGAGAAAUUUGGAUUAAUACCCCAUAAUAUAUUGGAGCGGCAUUGCUCUAUUAUUAAAGAUUUAUCACUCAAAGAUGGGCGUGCGCCUGAUUAGGUAGUUGGCGGGGUAACGGCCCACCAAGCCUACGAUCAGUAGCUGAUGUGAGAGCAUGAUCAGCCACACGGGCACUGAGACACGGGCCCGACUCCUACGGGAGGCAGCAGUAAGGAAUAUUGGUCAAUGGACGAAAGUCUGAACCAGCCAUGCCGCGUGGAGGAUGAAGGUCCUCUGGAUUGUAAACUUCUUUUAUAGGGGACGAAAAAAGGAAAUUCUUUUCCGUCUGACGGUACCCUAUGAAUAAGCACCGGCUAACUCCGUGCCAGCAGUCGCGGUAAUACGGAGGGUGCAAGCGUUAUCCGGAUUCACUGGGUUUAAAGGGUGCGUAGGCGGGCAGGUAAGUCAGUGGUGAAAUCUCCAAGCUUAACUUGGAAACUGCCGUUGAUACUAUCUGUCUUGAAUACUGUGGAGGUGAGCGGAAUAUGUCAUGUAGCGGUGAAAUGCUUAGAUAUGACAUAGAACACCAAUUGCGAAGGCAGCUCACUACACAGCCAUUGACGCUGAGGCACGAAAGCGUGGGGAUCAAACAGGAUUAGCUACCCUGGUAGUC